AUACGGAGGGUGCGAGCGUUAAUCGGAAUUACUGGGCGUAAAGCGCGCGUAGGCGGUUUGGUCAGUCGGAUGUGAAAGCCCCAGGCUCAACCUGGGAAUGGCAUUCGAUACUGCCUGACUAGAGUAUGGUAGAGGGAAGUGGAAUUUCCGGUGUAGCGGUGAAAUGCGUAGAUAUCGGAAGGAACACCAGUGGCGAAGGCGACUUCCUGGGCCAAUACUGACGCUGAGGUGCGAAAGCGUGGGGAGCAAACAGGAUUAGAAACCCUGGUAGUCC
RNAcentral lists this ribosomal RNA (274 nucleotides) under uncultured bacterium. RNAcentral describes it as "partial 16S ribosomal RNA". It matches the Rfam family "Bacterial small subunit ribosomal RNA", at positions 523 to 796 of the family's 1533-position model. The record is from RNAcentral.